This 424-nucleotide ribosomal RNA is filed under the name uncultured eukaryote. RNAcentral describes it as "bacterial SSU rRNA". It matches the Rfam family "Eukaryotic small subunit ribosomal RNA", at positions 592 to 1018 of the family's 1831-position model. The record is from RNAcentral.
CAAUAGCGUAUAUUAAAGUUGUUGCAGUUAAAAAGCUCGUAGUUGUAUUUGUGACGUGCAUUGGGCGCCCUUUCCUAUUGGAUUUUGGUGUUGCCUGGUGUUGUCACCCUUGGGUGGAACCUGUGUGGCAUUAGGUUGUCGUGCAGGGGAUGCCCAUCGUUUACUGUGAAAAAUUAGGGUGUUCAAAGCAGGCUUAUGCCGUUGAAUAUAUUAGCAUGGAAUAAUGAGAUAGGGCCCUGGUGCUAUUUUGUUGGUUUGUGCACCGAGGUAAUGAUUAAUAGGGACAGUUGGGGGUAUUCGUAUUCCAUUGUCAGAGGUGAAAUUCUUGGAUUUUUGGAAGACGAGCUACUGCGAAAGCAUUUACCAAGGAUGUUUUCAUUAAUCAAGAACGAAAGUUAGGGGAUCGAAGACGAUUAGAUACCGU